RNAcentral lists this ribosomal RNA (461 nucleotides) under uncultured bacterium. RNAcentral's name for it is "partial 16S ribosomal RNA". It matches the Rfam family "Bacterial small subunit ribosomal RNA", at positions 339 to 795 of the family's 1533-position model. The record is from RNAcentral.
CUACGGGUGGCUGCAGUUAAGAAUCUUGCACAAUGGGCGCAAGCCUGAUGCAGCGACGCCGCGUGAAUGAUGAAGGCUUUAGGGUUGUAAAGUUCGGUAAGCAGGGAAGAAUAAGCGAGAGGUAAUAUUUCUUGUGAUGACGGUACCUGCCUAAAGCCCCGGCUAACUACGUGCCAGCAGCCGCGGUAAUACGUAUGGGGCGAGCGUUGUUCGGAAUUAUUGGGCGUAAAGGGCGUCUAGGCGGGGAUUUAAGUUAGGUGUGAAAGCUAUGGGCUCAACCCAUAAACUGCAUCUAAAACUGGAUCUCUUGAGUUCGGGAGAGGAGAGCGGAAUUCCAGGUGUAGCGGUGAAAUGCGUAGAUAUCUGGAAGAACACCAGUGGCGAAGGCGGCUCUCUGGCCUAGAACUGACGCUGAAGCGCGAAAGCGUGGGGAGCGAACAGGAUUAGAUACCCCCGUAGUC